GGCGGCGGGCCUAACACAUGCAAGUCGAACGGUAACAGGCCCGCAAGGGUGCUGACGAGUGGCGGACGGGUGAGGAAUACAUCGGAAUCUGCCCGGUUGUGGGGGAUAACGUAGGGAAACUUACGCUAAUACCGCAUACGACCGAAAGGUGAAAGCGUGGGAUCCGCAAGGACCUCGCGCAGCCGGAUGAGCCGAUGUCGGAUUAGCUAGUUGGCGGGGUAAAGGCCCACCAAGGCGACGAUCCGUAGCUGGUCUGAGAGGAUGAUCAGCCACACUGGGACUGAGACACGGCCCAGACUCCUACGGGAGGCAGCAGUGGGGAAUAUUGGACAAUGGGGGCAACCCUGAUCCANCAAUGCCGCGUGUGUGAAGAAGGCCUUCGGGUUGUNAAGCACUUUUAUCCGGAACGAAACGCGCAGGGUGAAUAGCCUUGCNAACUGACGGUACCGGA
RNAcentral lists this ribosomal RNA (451 nucleotides) under uncultured Gammaproteobacteria bacterium. RNAcentral describes it as "bacterial SSU rRNA". It matches the Rfam family "Bacterial small subunit ribosomal RNA", at positions 38 to 482 of the family's 1533-position model. Lineage: Bacteria; Pseudomonadati; Pseudomonadota; Gammaproteobacteria. The record is from RNAcentral.